Transfer RNA from Trichosporon asahii var. asahii CBS 8904, 87 nucleotides. It matches the Rfam family "tRNA". Rfam says of the family: Transfer RNA (tRNA) molecules are approximately 80 nucleotides in length. Their secondary structure includes four short double-helical elements and three loops (D, anti-codon, and T loops). NCBI's taxonomy places the organism in Eukaryota, Fungi, Basidiomycota, Tremellomycetes, Trichosporonales, Trichosporonaceae. The record is from Rfam.
GGUCUGAUCGUAUAACGGUUAGUACACAAGAUUCUGACUUCCUCUGCUGUCGUUCUUGUAAUCUGGGUUCGAUUCCCAGUCGGACCU